Parus major (Great Tit) is the source of this 1576-nucleotide long non-coding RNA. RefSeq lists it as uncharacterized. The transcript has 4 exons. The record is from RefSeq and is a predicted model, not a curated record. NCBI's taxonomy places the organism in Eukaryota, Metazoa, Chordata, Aves, Passeriformes, Paridae.
GCUCUUGUUACCUCAGAACCCUCUAGCUUUUCCAGCCACACGUGGAAUAUUUGGUCUGUCUGGGCUUGGAACGGGACACAGGUGUAGAGAGACACAAACUUUCACUGCAUGUGAGAGAACUGGAAACCAGCGAGGAACCAGCUCUGAUCUUGUGGAAUCAUGGGAACCAGCAGUAGCAGAGUAUGAAAUGUCAUUAUUCUGUUAAAUGAGACUAUUAAUUCAGCUCGGGAUCCUAUGGCCAGUGCAUAAUGUGCAGUACUUAGUUCUGCUCACGCAGUCCUCGCUAAUGCUCUGGGAACACUGUGUGCCCUAGGAGGGACGUGAAGGACUGCGCCAGAAAUUACUACUGAUCUUAACACCACAUCCAUAUGGCUGAGGGGCCUGUUAGCCUAUACAAUUCAUUGAGGAUGUUUCCAUCUGUGAAUAGGUCCCAUUAUACCCUAAUUGUGUCAGAUUAAAUGUAUUUUUAAAAUAUUUGCACAAGUUAAUAUUUAUAACAGAUAUUAAGCCUUAUCCAGCCCUGUUUCUGGUUUCCCCCCACCUGAGUUGAUUUCUCUGGCUAUUUUGGAGGGUGGAGGUUGUCCCAUGUGAGCACCAGACACUGGGAGCCAUACUGUCUUUUAUUUUUGUUGGAACAAAAUGUUGUGUAGGGAAAUAGAAGACAAUGCCUACAAUAAACACUUGACCUCAGUGAGGUGCAAUGGAAAGAACUGGCACAGGUGGGAGCAGUUCUGACCCCCUUUGGCUCCCUGCCUGGGGCUGCAGGGAAGCACAGCUGUCUGCAGUGAGGGGUAAUGUCCAUAUCCCAUCCAGGUCUGGACUGGCCAUGGGCACAGCAGUGAUGGGGGGUUAUUGCCUUCACCUGAGCACAGGGGCUCUGCCACAGUGAAAACCAGAGUGAACAGGUGAAAACAGCCUGACCGGGAGCUGGCAUCCUACCAAUUGCUGAGCAGCAGGAAGUCAAAAGGGAGAAGCACAGGUGAUUCCCUUUUUGGCUGGGGCUGGGAACGCCUGCAUCCUACAUGUCGGAAAGCUGCUGCACAGCAAGGCAGGAAGAGGACUGAGCGGCUGAGAGAGCUCAGUUUGUCCUGGGGGCUGGGAGUUCCUUCAGCAGCAGCAGCCGCCCCCUACUCUCCUCAGUUCGGUGCAUCUCAAAGGACAGCUGGCUUCUGAGAGGAGGAGGACUGAUGUGCCCCUGAAACCCUCAGCACACCUGGCACACCACCCAGAACAGGCAGAGACCUUGCAAAAAACAAGCAGGUACCAGCUGGAGAUGCUGUUGGACCCGUGUGAGUUCAGUGAUUCACCCUCCCCCAGUGCCAAAGCCAGGUCAGCCUGAGGAAGUGCUGCUGACAGCACAGCUGGAAAAGAAGGCAUCAGAUUCAUGGAGAAAGGCUGGAGCACAUCUUUGGGAAGACAAUGCACUACGGUACACCCAAAUCUGGGAUUUUUACAGCUGGGUUUUUUGUAAGUAUCGAAAGAAGCUGGAUUGAGGCUUGUGCACACACCAUCUGGCAUAUCUCAUCAGAAAAGCUUCCCUCCCUGCUGACACAUAAGAGAAAGUGCUUUCAGGUUC